ACAAAGGCGCGUGACGCAAAGGCAGCAGGCCCACGUGGCAGUGUUUUCAUUGCCGGAGCCGCCCAGCUGGGAGGGAGAGGGAAGAACGAAUGCGGCUGGGGCCAGACCUGCUGGUUUCAGUCCGGCAACUGCGUCGGGGCCGCCGCAAGGGUGACAGGACUACGCGCUAGUUCCCACCCUGCCCAGACGCCUUGCCAUGUGUAACUCUGCCUAUUAAACUUACAGAGUUUAGCAGAGAGCGUUAGACUCCAAAGCCCCACCCUUUUGUCGAGUCCUCAAGCCGCAUUGAGAGAAGCUCCUGAAAUGGGGCUGCCUCAGCCAGAGAGAUAGCAAGUUAUCUUAUCCAUUGCCGAGCGGUUGAGAACCCUCACUACUUGCCAAGCGCGCCGUACUAUGCUGAUGGUCCAUUAUGCCACCAGCCAUGUGGAAAUAACAUCUCAGGACUGCCUCAUCUGAUUUCAUUUUUCCCAAGACAAUACAAUAGCCUUCCUAAAACACCAAGGUGAAUCACAGGUUCUCAGUAAAUGCUUACUGAUUGGCUGAUGAUCACGAAGACAGUUGCUUUCUACGAGUGCUUUUGCUAAUGUCCUUGGAGCUGAGAGUCUGUUACCCAUGCCAGUGCAGAGAGGUUCAAUCAAGGUGUUUUUGUUCACCGAGGCAUCUUCGCACUGGUCAAGAACACAGAGAUGGGUUCAGCAGGAACACCCACUACUUCACUACUGCCCACUACUACCUGAGAAAAUGGAAAUCAGCUCAGAUGAGCAGACUGGAAUGUUCCCAACAGUCAUAAACAAGGCCAGCACAAGGCCAGGCGAAAACUGUGUUUAACCCAAGGCCACACCGUAGCGCAAAAUUACUGACAUUGGCGUAUCUAAUCCUUUCUUAUCAAAGCCUCUCCCAGACCCACUCGAUUUCUCCACUUGCUGAACAAAAAUUUCUGAGAUAUCCGAUGAUGAAACCACUUGCUUCACAACACAUCCAUUCCUGACCUGAUUCCUGUUUCUUCUACCUUUCCCUUCCUAGCAUCACUUAACACAAACCUGGCAAAAAGCCCUUUCCCACAGCCUCUUACUGAGAUGCCUCAUGGUUCACUUGAUGUGCACACCCUCUUGCUGCAGGAAGUUAAUAAAACUGACAUU
This is a long non-coding RNA of Gorilla gorilla gorilla (western lowland gorilla), 1139 nucleotides long. RefSeq lists it as uncharacterized. The record is from RefSeq and is a predicted model, not a curated record. NCBI's taxonomy places the organism in Eukaryota, Metazoa, Chordata, Mammalia, Primates, Hominidae. The transcript has 4 exons.